This 253-nucleotide ribosomal RNA is filed under the name uncultured bacterium. RNAcentral describes it as "partial 16S ribosomal RNA". It matches the Rfam family "Bacterial small subunit ribosomal RNA", at positions 524 to 776 of the family's 1533-position model. The record is from RNAcentral.
UACGUAGGGGGCAAGCGUUGUCCGGAUUUGUUGGGCGUAAAGAGCGUGUAGGCGGCCAUACAGGUCAGCUGUGAAAACUCGAGGCUCAACCUCGAGACGUCGGUUGAAACCGUUUGGCUAGAGUCCGGAAGAGGAGAGUGGAAUUCCCGGUGUAGCGGUGAAAUGCGCAGAUAUCGGGAAGAACACCCGUGGCGAAGGCGGCUCUCUGGGACGGUACUGACGCUGAGACGCGAAAGCGUGGGGAGCGAACAGG